Molecule: long non-coding RNA, 309 nt
Organism: Bufo bufo (common toad)
Lineage: Eukaryota; Metazoa; Chordata; Amphibia; Anura; Bufonidae
Exons: 3
Source: RefSeq, a predicted model, not a curated record
UACAGAGAAAUCACUGAAUUAGGAGUAAAGAUGUAUAAUGCAUAAGUUUGACAAUUUCUCCCCUUCCUCUUAAAGGCAUAAUCCAGAAAAUACAGAAUUAAUGCUCCAAUAAGUACAGCCCCCAUGUCCUACAUAAUCUCCUCUUCUCAUUUCUGUCCCCUGUACCAUUUUAAUUAGCCUCUCUCUACAUAGCCUCCCUUGGCCCCAAUUAAAACAAUCAUAAUGCAGCAUAAGUGCAGUGCCUAACUAAAAAAACAAACAGGUUUAUCAGAGCAUAUUGAUGAACUUUGAACAUUGUGCCCAGAAUUA